This 768-nucleotide ribosomal RNA is filed under the name Triticum aestivum (bread wheat). RNAcentral's name for it is "partial small subunit ribosomal RNA". The record is from RNAcentral. Lineage: Eukaryota; Viridiplantae; Streptophyta; Magnoliopsida; Poales; Poaceae.
AUGUUGAAGUGCAAACCGACCACCACACCCAUGUCGUCUACCGACAAGAUAACAGCUGUUGAUGGUGAGCUUUUGUCUCCUGCGGAUGCCACAGAGUACAGGAGCAUUGUUGGUGGACUUCAGUACUUGACGAUCACGAGACCAGAUAUCUCUUAUGCUGUUAACAGGGUUUGUCAGUAUCUUCAGGCUCCCAGAGAUACUCAUUGGGCUGCUAUUAAACGCAUUCUUCGUUAUGUUCAGUUCACCCUGACAUUUGGUAUGCAUAUUCGGCCGACUUCCUCUUGGGUCCUUUCGGCCUUCUCUGAUGCAGAUUGGGCUGGUAGUCCAAAUGACAGGCGAUCCACGGGGGGUUAUGCAGUAUUCUUUGGCUCUAAUUUGAUCGCCUGGAGUGCUCGGAAACAGGCUACUGUGUCACGUAGCAGUACUGAAGCUGAGUACAAGGCUGUGGCGAAUGCUACUGCAGAGAUUAUUUGGGUGCAGUCUUUGCUUCAGGAGUUGGGUUUGUCUCAACCACAGCCUCCUAUUCUUUGGUGUGAUAACAUCGGUGCUACAUACCUUUCUGCAAAUCCAGUAUUUCAUGCCCGAACGAAACACAUUGAAGUUGACUAUCACUUUGUACGGGAACGUGUAUCACAGAAGCAACUCCAGAUCAAGUUUAUCUUAUCUAAGGAUCAACUUGCAGACAUCUUCACUAAGCCUUUACCACUGCCACAGUUUGAGGCUUGUAGGCGCAAUCUUACCCUUCUCAGUUCUUUAGAAAGUGGCUAA